AUUGAACGCUAGCGGCAUGCUUAACACAUGCAAGUCGAACGGUAACAGGCCUAGCUUGCUAGGCGCUGACGAGUGGCGGACGGGUGAGUAACGCGUAGGAAUCUACCUUGUAGAGGGGAAUAACCUGGGGAAACUCAGGCUAAUACCGCAUAAGCCCUAAGGGGGAAAGCAGGGGACUGUAACAGGCCUUGCACUAUGAGAGGAGCCUACGUCGGAUUAGCUAGUUGGUAGGGUAAAGGCCUACCAAGGCGAAGAUCCGUAGCUGGUCUGAGAGGACGACCAGCCACACUGGGACUGAGACACGGCCCAGACUCCUACGGGAGGCAGCAGUGGGGAAUAUUGGACAAUGGGCGCAAGCCUGAUCCAGCAAUGCCGCGUGUGUGAAGAAGGCCUGCGGGUUGUAAAGCACUUUCAGUGGGGAGGAACGUUUUUAGCACUAAUACUGCUAAGAGGUGACGCUACCCAAAGAAGAAGCACCGGCUAACUCUGUGCCAGCCGCCGCCGUAA
Molecule: ribosomal RNA, 507 nt
Filed under: uncultured bacterium
Lineage: Bacteria
Description: partial 16S ribosomal RNA
Rfam family: Bacterial small subunit ribosomal RNA
Source: RNAcentral